RNAcentral lists this ribosomal RNA (630 nucleotides) under Streptomyces sp. SCAU5203. RNAcentral's name for it is "bacterial SSU rRNA". It matches the Rfam family "Bacterial small subunit ribosomal RNA", at positions 106 to 749 of the family's 1533-position model. The record is from RNAcentral. Lineage: Bacteria; Bacillati; Actinomycetota; Actinomycetes; Kitasatosporales; Streptomycetaceae.
GUGAGUAACACGUGGGCAAUCUGCCCUGCACUCUGGGACAAGCCCUGGAAACGGGGUCUAAUACCGGAUACUGAUCAUCUUGGGCAUCCUUGGUGAUCGAAAGCUCCGGCGGUGCAGGAUGAGCCCGCGGCCUAUCAGCUUGUUGGUGAGGUAACGGCUCACCAAGGCGACGACGGGUAGCCGGCCUGAGAGGGCGACCGGCCACACUGGGACUGAGACACGGCCCAGACUCCUACGGGAGGCAGCAGUGGGGAAUAUUGCACAAUGGGCGAAAGCCUGAUGCAGCGACGCCGCGUGAGGGAUGACGGCCUUCGGGUUGUAAACCUCUUUCAGCAGGGAAGAAGCGAAAGUGACGGUACCUGCAGAAGAAGCGCCGGCUAACUACGUGCCAGCAGCCGCGGUAAUACGUAGGGCGCGAGCGUUGUCCGGAAUUAUUGGGCGUAAAGAGCUCGUAGGCGGCUUGUCACGUCGGUUGUGAAAGCCCGGGGCUUAACCCCGGGUCUGCAGUCGAUACGGGCAGGCUAGAGUUCGGUAGGGGAGAUCGGAAUUCCUGGUGUAGCGGUGAAAUGCGCAGAUAUCAGGAGGAACACCGGUGGCGAAGGCGGAUCUCUGGGCCGAUACUGACGCUGA